AACAAGGCGUACCUGCGGACCUGCGGAGGGAUCAUUACCGAGUUUACAACUCCCAAACCCCUGUGAACAUACCUAUACGUUGCCUCGGCGGAUCAGCCCGCGCCCUGUAAAAAGGGACGGCCCGCCCGAGGACCCCUAAACUCUGUUUUUAGUGGAACUUCUGAGUAAAACAAACAAAUAAAUCAAAACUUUCAACAACGGAUCU
Molecule: unclassified non-coding RNA, 205 nt
Filed under: soil metagenome
Description: partial contains 5.8S ribosomal RNA, internal transcribed spacer 2, and large subunit ribosomal RNA
Source: RNAcentral